GAUGAACGCUGGCGGCGUGCCUAAUACAUGCAAGUCGAGCGAACAGACGAGGAGCUUGCUCCUCUGACGUUAGCGGCGGACGGGUGAGUAACACGUGGAUAACCUACCUAUAAGACUGGGAUAACUUCGGGAAACCGGAGCUAAUACCGGAUAAUAUAUUGAACCGCAUGGUUCAAUAGUGAAAGACGGUUUUGCUGUCACUUAUAGAUGGAUCCGCGCCGCAUUAGCUAGUUGGUAAGGUAACGGCUUACCAAGGCAACGAUGCGUAGCCGACCUGAGAGGGUGAUCAGCCACACUGGAACUGAGACACGGUCCAGACUCCUACGGGAGGCAGCAGUAGGGAAUCUUCCGCAAUGGGCGAAAGCCUGGCGGAGCAACGCCGCGUGAGUGAUGAAGGUCUUCGGAUCGUAAAACUCUGUUAUUAGGGAAGAACAAAUGUGUAAGUAACUAUGCACGUCUUGACGGUACCUAAUCAGAAAGCCACGGCUAACUACGUG
Molecule: ribosomal RNA, 497 nt
Filed under: uncultured bacterium
Lineage: Bacteria
Description: partial 16S ribosomal RNA
Rfam family: Bacterial small subunit ribosomal RNA
Source: RNAcentral